AGUGAACGCUGGCGGUAGGCCUAACACAUGCAAGUCGAACGGCAGCACAGGAGAGCUUGCUCUCUGGGUGGCGAGUGGCGGACGGGUGAGGAAUACAUCGGAAUCUACUCUGUCGUGGGGGAUAACGUAGGGAAACUUACGCUAAUACCGCAUACGACCUACGGGUGAAAGCAGGGGAUCUUCGGACCUUGCGCGAUUGAAUGAGCCGAUGUCGGAUUAGCUAGUUGGCGGGGUAAAGGCCCACCAAGGCGACGAUCCGUAGCUGGUCUGAGAGGAUAAUCAGCCACACUGAAACUGAGACACGGUCCAGACUCCUACGGGAGGCAGCAGUGGGGAAUAUUGGACAAUGGGCGCAAGCCUGAUCCAGCCAUACCGCGUGGGUGAAGAAGGCCUUCGGGUUGUAAAGCCCUUUUGUUGGGAAAGAAAUCCAGCUGGCUAAUACCCGGUUGGGAUGACGGUACCCAAAGAAUAAGCACCGGCUAACUUCGUGCCAGCAGCCGCCGUAA
This 506-nucleotide ribosomal RNA is filed under the name uncultured bacterium. RNAcentral's name for it is "partial 16S ribosomal RNA". It matches the Rfam family "Bacterial small subunit ribosomal RNA", at positions 29 to 523 of the family's 1533-position model. The record is from RNAcentral.